ACGGGUGAGUAACGCGUGGAUAACCUGCCUCACACAGGGGGAUAGCAGUUGGAAACGACUGGUAAUCCCGCAUAAGCGCACAGCUUCGCAUGAAGCGGUGUGAAAAACUCCGGUGGUGUGAGAUGGACCCGCGUCUGAUUAGGUAGUUGGUGAGGUAACGGCCCACCAAGCCGACGAUCAGUAGCCGACCUGAGAGGGUGACCGGCCACAUUGGGACUGAGACACGGCCCAAACUCC
RNAcentral lists this ribosomal RNA (237 nucleotides) under uncultured Lachnospiraceae bacterium. Its description in RNAcentral is "partial 16S ribosomal RNA". It matches the Rfam family "Bacterial small subunit ribosomal RNA", at positions 102 to 339 of the family's 1533-position model. The record is from RNAcentral. Lineage: Bacteria; Bacillati; Bacillota; Clostridia; Lachnospirales; Lachnospiraceae.